RNAcentral lists this long non-coding RNA (1702 nucleotides) under Nicotiana benthamiana. Its description in RNAcentral is "long non-coding RNA (NBEN_LNC030348)". Lineage: Eukaryota; Viridiplantae; Streptophyta; Magnoliopsida; Solanales; Solanaceae. The record is from RNAcentral.
AGUUCUCUACAAUUAAGUAUUCACUUAUUCUAUAUAUUGACUUACUUGAGAUUCUGUUCUUCUCUUCCUCCGUCAGUUUGGCAGCAAAGCCAUUAAAGCUCCUCUUAUAGCUGUACAUCAAACAUUCUGAAGCUCUACCAUUGCUGAAUGCAUGUAAUUGAAACCAUAGUUUGAUGAGUUUCGAUUUCAUGGCUUUAUACGUAAGUCAUGGGCUAAAUUUCCUUAAUUUGUUCGAAUAAGCAAUUUAAGAAGUAUUUCUUAAAAAGGAAGAAAUGGACAGUCUUUAAUUCAAAAUAAAUUUAUUCUAUGAUGUAACGAUUUAUCCAACACAACUAAUGAUCAAUUUUUUUUCAGGACCACUGACCUCCCAAGAGCCUCUUGUAGAAUGCUAGUGUGCAUGGAUGUAGCAGAAAGAUCACCCUUUGGUCUGUCGCCCAUGUACACAAUGUACUCUUGUACCUUAAACAUGAUUAGUAGAUACCUUCAAAAUUCAGAGGUGUAGCUACGAAUUGAACCUUAUGAGUUCCGAAUUAUAAUUCUGUUAAGUUAUCAGGUUUUAAAUUAGUAAUAAUUUGCGUAUAUUCAUUAAAUUUUUUAAUACAAAUACAAUAUAUGAAUAAAAACUACUGGGUUCAGCCGAAUUCGCAACCAAUACUGUGACUCCGCCCAAGCUUCAAAUGCACGUAAGAGUGAUGUUGGAAAAAUGAUACAUUAGUAUUUGAGAAUGGUCUUAACACUUUUACAAGAUCGGCAAAUCAUUUAAAAGAUAAUUACAAGUCAUAAAUAAAUGCUAGCUAGUAUUAGUGAACUAGAAAAUAAGGAAGGUUAUCUAAAAAUAACUUUGUAUCGGGCAAAUUUCGCUCCCUACGUCCUUAUGCUAUCUAUGCACGCCCUUGGCAUCAAGGCCAGUUCAACUAAGGCCGACCCAAGUAAGGUCGACCUCAGUGGACGGCUCGAGUGGCACGACUCAAGAAGACAUCGUUUGAAGCUCUGACUCUUCCGUACACUGAAGCCACCAACUUCUGUACUUUUCUUUGAUUAUUUCGAGGAAGGUCCCUAAUAUAUAAAGGGGACCUCCCAUUUGUAAAGGCUCAUAUGUUUUUUGCUACUGAAAAUAUAUAACUCUUUCUCUCUCUUGUGCAAAGAUUACUAAUUGUUCCAUUACUCUUACAUCUUACGCUUGGUUUCGAUUUACCCUUAUUUAUUCUCGAUUGUUCUUGAGCUUAACAAGUAUUCAUAUAACUUUUUAGCCAAACAAACUUCAACCUCAUUCUCACUCACCAGCAAGACACGACCCAGAAAAGAAAAAUUAGAACUCUGGGCUCGCUUGCCCACACCUCACCACCUUUUAUAACUAUAUACAUGGAGAGAGCACCAAACUUGUAACUGAAAUUGUUCAUCGGUAAAUCAUUGGUGUCAAACUAAUCAAUAUAUGCAACUCUAUUAGACUAAUUCUUGUUAACUCUAAUCACAAAGUAAUGUUUGACAAUUUAAAAAUGCAAAAACAAAAAAGAGAGAAAGAGAAAGGAGAUGCCUUUUGGUCAUUUUCAUACGCUAGUACACUGCAAUUGAUGAGUAGAAAAGAUGAGAAGACGUAUAGGAGAAACCAUGAAGGAGAAUAGUGAGUGGCCAUUUGAGAUAUAGUUUCGUAGAGGAGUUGAUAUUUGCAUGCAAAAAGAAGAAAUAUGGAAUGGAUAUUUAU